GUGUCAGCCGCCGCGGUAACACGUAGGGAGCAAGCGUUGUCCGGAUUUAUUGGGCGUAAAGAGCUCGUAGGCGGCUCAGUAAGUCAGGUGUGAAACCUCCAGGCUCAACCUGGAGACGCCACCUGAUACUGCUGUGGCUAGAGUCCGGUAGGGGAGCGUGGAAUUCCUGGUGUAGCGGUGAAAUGCGCAGAUAUCAGGAGGAACACCAGCGGCGAAGGCGGCGCUCUGGGCCGGAACUGACGCUGAGGAGCGAAAGCGUGGGUAGCAAACAGGAUUAGAUACCCCCGUAGUCC
RNAcentral lists this ribosomal RNA (293 nucleotides) under uncultured bacterium. RNAcentral describes it as "partial 16S ribosomal RNA". It matches the Rfam family "Bacterial small subunit ribosomal RNA", at positions 505 to 796 of the family's 1533-position model. The record is from RNAcentral.